CCUACGGGAGGCAGCAGUGAGGAAUAUUGGUCAAUGGUCGGGAGACUGAACCAGCCAAGCCGCGUGAGGGAUGAAGGUACAGAGUAUCGUAAACCUCUUUUGUCAGGGAACAAAGGCGGGGACGUGUCCCCGGAUGAGUGUACCUGAAGAAAAAGCAUCGGCUAACUCCGUGCCAGCAGCCGCGGUAAUCCGGAGGAUGCGGGCGUUAUCCGGAUUUAUUGGGUUUAAAGGGUGUGCAGGCGGUUUGUUAAGUCAGCGGUCAAAGCCCGGGGCUCAACCCCGGCCCGGCCGUUGAAACUGGCAGUCGCGAGUUGGAGAGAGGUAUGCGGAAUGCGCGGUGUAGCGGUGAAAUGCAUAGAUAUCGCGCAGAACUCCGAUUGCGAAGGCAGCAUGCCGGCUCCACACUGACGCUGAGGCACGAAAGCGUGGGUAUCGAACAGGAUUAGAUACCCCAGUAGUC
Molecule: ribosomal RNA, 460 nt
Filed under: uncultured bacterium
Lineage: Bacteria
Description: partial 16S ribosomal RNA
Rfam family: Bacterial small subunit ribosomal RNA
Source: RNAcentral